RNAcentral lists this long non-coding RNA (256 nucleotides) under Homo sapiens (human). RNAcentral describes it as "HSALNT0075529". Lineage: Eukaryota; Metazoa; Chordata; Mammalia; Primates; Hominidae. The record is from RNAcentral.
GUAGGUUUUAGUUCAACUGAAGAAUCAACUAUCAGGGCUAUCAGACAACGGAAUUCAAUACUUUAAGAUGGAUUUUUUGAUUGACCCUUUUCAGCUGGUGGCAGAAGAGCACUUGGCAAUGAAUCUGUAUGGAGGAUUCAGCAUUGACUCCUCCUUUGUUCCCUGAUGGAGUCUCACUCUAUUGCCCAGGCUGGAGUGCAAUGGCGUGAUCUCAGCUCACUGCAACCUCGGCCUCCCGGGUUCAAGCGAUUCUUCC